This is a long non-coding RNA of Oryzias melastigma (Indian medaka), 820 nucleotides long. RefSeq lists it as uncharacterized. The record is from RefSeq and is a predicted model, not a curated record. Lineage: Eukaryota; Metazoa; Chordata; Actinopteri; Beloniformes; Adrianichthyidae. The transcript has 3 exons.
UGUGUUUAAUAAAAGUGCACCCAAGCACACACAUAAAAAGGACUGACAUAUCUGUUUCAACCUGAAGGUGCACAGUGGAUCCAACUGUUCAGAUCUACCGCUCCUCCAACCAGAAUCAGUUCCAGUUCAGCAUGGAGGCCUUCAAGUUCAUUGGUUCAUUGGAUCAGAUGGCAAGGAGAUACGGGAGAUUCUGACUCCUCACCAUGACAACAACCGCCACCCCGGCCAGGGUCGGCUGGUGAAGGAGAUCAUGGUGAGUGUGCUGGCGUGGAGCACUGCAGCAUCUCCCUGACGGGCCGCCUCCUCUCUGUUGGGGUGACCGUCUCCGUGAAGAAGUGGGUUGAAGACUUCGCCGUUUGUCAAGGCAGAUCGCAGCUACGCCCCAACCAGCUGAGCGUCCAGUGCUGCCUGGUUUACGGCUGCGACGCCUCGAGUUACGCCCACCCCGAGCUGAGCUUCCACCGGUUUCCCAAAGAUGCGGAGCUGCGGAGGGCGUGGCUGGCCCUGGCUCAGAGGGACGAGGGCUCGCCGCAUGCUCACUCCUGAGUGUCCUCCUGACACUUUGAGGCGUCUUGGUUCACCCUGACGCCGCCGGCCGGCUGAUGCUUUCAUCGGACGCCGUUCCGACCCUCCGUCCUGACGCGCUGAGAGAGGUGACUCAGUUUUUUCAUAAUAAAAGUCUAGAGUGAUGCAGUUUCUGUGUUUUAGACCGAGACGGACAUCUAUCUGUCAGGUAUGGUGACCCUGAAGUGCAAAUUUAUCAACAAACUCGAUCCAAAAACAUUUUUCAAAUCACAACAAAUAAAGAAAAAAAAACAAA